Molecule: ribosomal RNA, 865 nt
Filed under: Gammarus lacustris
Lineage: Eukaryota; Metazoa; Arthropoda; Malacostraca; Amphipoda; Gammaridae
Description: partial 16S ribosomal RNA
Rfam family: Bacterial large subunit ribosomal RNA (bases 569-865)
Source: RNAcentral
AAAGAGUAAGAAAUUCUGGUGAGUGUACCUUUUGUAUCAGGGGAAGUCAAAAGUGUAAGUAGCAAGAGAUCGAUUUAAGCAGAGCUUCGUAUAAGGGGGCUGUAGUUGAAUUUACAGGUUUAAUACGCUAUGUGGUGAAAAAUGUACGGUGCUUAUGGUAGCUAUUUGUUUUUUUUUGUUGAGGGGUAAGCUCUCAUUGGUUUAAGUAGGUAAAAGAUGUAAAGGAAUUAGGCUUUGUAUCAGCCAGAUUAUUAAAUUGUUUUAAAUAACUUAGAGUCGCGAGUAUAGAUGGUUUAAGAGUAAAAAACUUGGGUUGUUGAUAUAGACAACCCUAAAUAAUGAAUUUAUUGAAUAUAUUGUCGAAGCGUUAAAAUAACUCAGAGUGAGUUAGAAUGUUUAGCAAAAACAUUUUUUUGAGAGUUACGUAAGAUAAGACCUGCCCGGUGAUUUUUAACGGCUGCGGUAUUUUGACUGUGCUAAGGUAGCAUAAUCAUUUGCUAUUUAAUUGGUAGCUGGAAUGAAAGGUUAAACUGGCUCACUCAGUUUGUUGGGUUUUUUAAGAAAUUAAAGUCAAAGUAAGAAUUCUUUGAUUUUCUAGGGGACGAUAAGACCCUAGAAGCUUGGCAAUGAGAAUAUUUGUUAGUAGUAAAAAGUAACUUGUUUUACUGGGGCGGUAAAAGUAUAUAAACUACUAGUUUAUUGGUAGAUCCUUAAAAUAAAGAUAAAUCGGAAAAGUUACUCUAGGGGUAACAGUGCAAUAUUUUUGGAGAGGUCUUAUCGAUAAGAAUGUUUGCAACCUCGAUGUUGAAUUAAAAUGUCUACGUGAAGUAGCAGGUACGUAAGAGGGUUUGUUCAACCUUUAAAU